This 314-nucleotide ribosomal RNA is filed under the name uncultured bacterium. RNAcentral's name for it is "bacterial SSU rRNA". It matches the Rfam family "Bacterial small subunit ribosomal RNA", at positions 28 to 334 of the family's 1533-position model. The record is from RNAcentral.
GAUGAACGCUAGCUACAGGCUUAACACAUGCAAGUCGAGGGGCAGCAGGAACUUAGCUUGCUAAGUUUGCUGGCGACCGGCGCACGGGUGAGUAACGCGUAUCCAACCUGCCCAUUACUCAGGGAUAGCCUUGCGAAAGUAAGAUUAAUACCUGAUGUCGUCAUAGAAUCGCAUGUUUCUUUGACUAAAGAAUUUUGGUAAUGGAUGGGGAUGCGUAACAUUAGGUAGUUGGUGAGGUAACGGCUCACCAAGCCUACGAUGUUUAGGGGUUCUGAGAGGAAGGUCCCCCACACUGGAACUGAGACACGGUCCAG